UGCUGCUAUAGCGCGAAGAAUCGACACGGCGGUCUGCAAGCCGAAUUUGUGGGGGAAAUGGCGGUGUCAAAACCGUCCAUGGCAUCACCACACCGACAAGAAUUUGCCUGAAUUUCGGCGGGCUCAAACAUAACGUUAAUAUCACGGCGAGGAGACCCGCAAUGUAAAGGACUACACGUGAAGACAUCCCAACUAGAGAAGACGCAAACAGAAGGACGGCCUGUAUCAGAAAUAUGACAAGGAUGAAGGAUGUAGGAUGCAAGAAGCAGGGGAGGAGACAUCUCUCAGCAUCUUCCAGGACCUUAUCGUUGCCUUCAACUACACGUCUAAUGGAAAGGGCUUUAAGGGAUAGAAAAAGGCUAGUGAUUUGUGAUGUGCAUUAAGUAGCUUUUAAUUUUGGCACCAAACUUAGAAUCCCCUCUGUGUAUCUGAGGCAUUGUCGACAGGGAUAAUUGCAGUUUCUUGAUUGUUGGCAAAGUGGUUGAGUUUGCUUUGGUGACAUCCUGAGUGACAUUGCUGGUUGGGGGUUGCGGCAUUUUGAGGGUUUUGGCUCCUUUUGCACGCAUGGCUUUAGUCUGUUUCUGUGGGAUACAGGUCCGAUGUAUGGUUGAUUUGGUUUCUGUGACUAUGCCGAGGGCUGGGAUUGAGUUCGGAGUUGCUGCAGAGUUCAGUCCUCUAGAAAACGGAGACUUCCCUACGUUCUGUCAGCCCAUGAUUAUUCAGGUAUCUUGUACUGCCUGACUUUCUUUCUGCAUUACGUGAUUGUCAGUGGGUCGGGAACCCUGACCAUUACAUAAGCUGCCUUGUGUUAGAAAUAAUAGGGGUGGGGGAGAGAAGAAUCAUCUGGCUUGGGUAUCCGUUAGUCUUGAGAUCCCGAACCGAGACUACGGCACAUGGCCAGAAGGGAAGACAGGAAGAUGAAGUGCCUAAGUGAUCAUGAGCUAACAGAACUGGGGAAGUCACUGUUUUCUGGUGGGCUGAACUUUGUAGUUACCUCUGAGCGCCAUUCCGGUCGUCAGCGUGGGUACAGAAGCUGAUCAGGCCAAGCGUUGGACCUGGUUGCCACAGGAACGGGUUGAAGCACUGUGUGCAGAAGUAACCAUUGCUCUCAAGGUGUCCUAAUCCCUUGCCAGUGCCAUCACAUAGGCUGUUGUCAACAUUCUCAUUACACCUUGCCGACAACCAAGUGAUUGUGAUUCUCCCUGCCGGUGAUGCCUCGGGUAGACAGAGGGGAUUGUUACCUAUUAAAGCUUGGACUGAAGCUACAUCACAGAUCAGUAACGUCCUGCCAUCGCCCCAUCAGCAGCAUUCCUCUGGAGGAAAAACAAGGUCAAGUCUGUAAAUGAAGUUCUUGUUAAAGAUCUUCAAAGAAUGCAAUGUAUCAUUUGACAACCAUUAUGUAUGAUGAUAGACAAGUGUUGCUCAGGUUACUAUAUGUUCAUGUUAAGUCUUUUGCCAUCUUCCUGGAUGAAGCUAAGUUUUUGUUAUGGGGUUGUUUAUGGAAAUAUUAUAGUUGCCUGCUAUUUAGCUACAUUCCUCCUACUUACCAGCUGUGAGAUGUCAAAGGCAUGUUUUUAUUUCUUGAAAUGUCCCUUUGAAUACUAGUAGCCAAGAUUUCCUAACUUGUAAAUGUCCUUUUUUAGGAUUAUGUUGUAGCUGUCUAGUUUUAAGAUAACCUUUUAAGAUCAGUGCAGUUUAUGCCAAAAAAGUUAUUCAAGCAACUGGAUAUGAUUUUGGAAACGGUCAAUUGUUUCAGGUAGCAUACACUUGCACUACUUUCGUCAGUGGCACUAGAGACUGCAGGAGAAAUGCAGAUUUAUCAUAUCCAGUUGCUUGUGUAACUGUUUUUCGGCGUAUCUUUAUUACCCGAAUGUCUAACCUUGACCAACGUAACUGCAACUUAGUUUAAGAAUAGUUGUAGUCUAGUUGUAGUCUAGUUGUAGUCUAGUUGUACCCUAGUGUUGAGAAUAGUUGUAGUGCAGUGCCGAGAAUAGUUGUAGUCCAGUGUUAAGAAUAGUUGUAGGUUAGUUGUAGCCUAGUGUUGUAGUCUAGUGUUAAGGUUAGUUGUAGUCUAAAGCUUUAAUUAAAGUCUUUUGUUCCCACUUAGCCUUUAUUUUUAGUGUAUUUUGCCUCUAUUCUAGUACAAGUAGUGGCCACCUUGUCCUAGAAUGGAUCCAAAAUAUAUUAAUACAUUGGUUUUGAGAGCAAAGGUCUUUACAUAAAGUAGGCUGCUGUAGGGUAGUUAUAAUCAGGUUAGGUUUAAGGUCUUAGGCAUUGUUGUGAGUUUUUGAAACUUAGCUUUCAAAAUGUCACUCAACCUGAGCAACACACUGUACACUUAAUAAACA
Long non-coding RNA from Branchiostoma belcheri (Belcher's lancelet), 2348 nucleotides. RefSeq lists it as uncharacterized. Lineage: Eukaryota; Metazoa; Chordata; Leptocardii; Amphioxiformes; Branchiostomatidae. The transcript has 3 exons. The record is from RefSeq and is a predicted model, not a curated record.